RNAcentral lists this ribosomal RNA (492 nucleotides) under uncultured bacterium. RNAcentral describes it as "partial 16S ribosomal RNA". It matches the Rfam family "Bacterial small subunit ribosomal RNA", at positions 30 to 507 of the family's 1533-position model. The record is from RNAcentral.
AGUGAACGCUGGCGGUAGGCCUAACACAUGCAAGUCGAACGGCAGCACAGUAAGAGCUUGCUCUUACGGGUGGCGAGUGGCGGACGGGUGAGGAAUACAUCGGAAUCUACUUUUUCGUGGGGGAUAACGUAGGGAAACUUACGCUAAUACCGCAUACGACCUACGGGUGAAAGCAGGGGAUCUUCGGACCUUGCGCGAUUGAAUGAGCCGAUGUCGGAUUAGCUAGUUGGCGGGGUAAAGGCCCACCAAGGCGACGAUCCGUAGCUGGUCUGAGAGGAUGAUGAGGCACACUGGAGAUUGGACACGGUAAGGACUACUGAGGGAGGCAGCAGUGGGGGAUGGGGGAAGAUGGGCGCGAGCCUGAUCAAGCCAUAGAGCGAGGGUGAAGAAGGCCUGCGGGUUGGAAAGCCCUUUUGUUGGGAAAUAAAAGCAGCAGGUUAAUAACCCGCGGGUCUGACGCUACCCAAAGAAUAAGCACCGGCAAACUUCGUG